This 1613-nucleotide long non-coding RNA is filed under the name Ictidomys tridecemlineatus (thirteen-lined ground squirrel). RNAcentral's name for it is "lncRNA (ENSSTOG00000030652.1)". The record is from RNAcentral. Lineage: Eukaryota; Metazoa; Chordata; Mammalia; Rodentia; Sciuridae.
CACCUCCACUAAGCGUGUCAUCUACAGAAGAGACCACGGGGCCUGUGACAGGAGGCAAAAUCUCCAGAACACAGGCUUCUUGAUAGUUCCUCUAAUUCCAUCGAAUCUGGAUUUAGUUUUCGUUUUGUUUUGUUUUUUUCUGAAAAACCAAACCAGUCUCCUCACUCUUCUCCCUUUAUCUACACGAAAGACAGAAAAGGAGCCCUUUUGCUAUGAAAACGAAUUCUUCCGUUUUUAAUCCUUUCAGCCAUGUCGCAUCAGCCAGGAGCAUGGAGCAACUAACAAGGGAAACAGAGAAAUAUUCCCAGCAAGCGCUGUCAUUGCCCCACCAGGGUCUGAGUGAAGCUGGCGGAAGUGGCGUCUCGGACAGCUCUGUGGUACAAGGACUCAGGGGAAGAUUGGAGAAAACUAAGACCCUGGCCCAGCAGUUGUCAAGGGAAGCCACCCAAACUGACGUGGAAGCGGAUAGGUCUUAUCAGCACAGUCUCGGCCUUCUGGAUUCCGUGUCUGGGCUUCAGAUAGUGGACGAUCGGUCCUUUCAGGUGGAAGCGAAGAGAAUCAGACAAAAAACUGAUUCUCUCUCUAGCCUGGUGACCAGGCAUAUGGAUGAGUUCGGGCGUGUGCAGAGCAAUCUGGAAAACUGGGAAAAAGAAACCCAGCAGCUCUUACAGAAUGGAAAAAAUGAGAGACAGAAAUCAGAUCAGCUGCUUUCCCGUGCCAACCUUGCUAAAAGCAGAGCCCAAGAAGCACUAAGUAUGGGCAAUGCCACUUUUUAUGAAGUUGAGAACAUCCUAAAGAACCUCAGAGAGUUUGACCUGCAGGUGGAAGACAGGAAGGCAGAAGCCGAAGAGGCACUGAGGAGACUCUCCUACAUCAGCCAGAGAGUUGCAGAUGCCAGUGACAAGACCCAGCAGGCCGAAGCGGCCCUGGGCAGCGCCUCAGCGGACGCCCGGAGUGCAGAGAAGACGGCCAGGGAGGCCCUGGAGAUCUCCAGCGAGAUAGAACAGGAGAUAGGGAGUCUGAACUUGGAAGCCAAUGUGACUGCAGAUGGGGCUUUGGCCAUGGAAAAGGGACUGGCCACUCUAAAGAGCGAGAUGAGGGAGGUGGAAGCAGAGCUGGCCAGGAGGCAGCUGGAGUUUGACACGGACAGGGAUGCGGUGCAGAUGGUGAGCCACGGCUUCUUUCCCUGGGGGAUCCCUUUAAAGUCACCAAUAUGGAAAAUACCCAUCCCAGGCAAGUCUGUUCUUCUUUCUCCUCAGGUGAUUACAGAAGCCCAGAGAGUUGAUACCAGAGCCAAGAAUGCAGGCGUUACAAUCCAAGACACGCUCAGCACCCUGGACGGCAUCCUACAUCUGAUAGACCAGCCUAAUGCUGUGGAUGAAGAGCGACUGAUCUUAUUGGAGGAGGAGCUUUUCCGUGCCAAGACCCGGAUCAACAGCCAGCUGAGGCCCUUGAUGGCAGAGCUGGAGGAGAGGGCGCGUCGACAGAAGGGCCACCUCCAUCUGCUGCAGACAAGCAUAGAUGGAAUUCUGGCGGACGUGAAGAACCUGGAAAACAUUAGGGACAACCUGCCCCCGGGCUGCUACAAUACCCAGGCUCUCGAGCAACAGUGA